CUUUUCAAAUCAUUUUUAUUAAAGUUUUAUUACAUUUUCAACAAAUUAUGCAAAUAAGGGGAAACCAGGAAGUAAGAAGUGGUAUCCAUCCAUUAUUAUAAGAAAUAUAAUAAUUCACAUGACAUAGAUAGAUUGUACAAUGAUACAGUUCAACAUUAAAUCAAUUUUUUUUACAAACGAUGGACAUUUUAAAUUUCUUCCUCUCAUUUAUCCCAAUCAUUUUUUUAGUUUUGCGAAAGAAUGUGUAUUGCUCCUAUGUGAUAAUUUGUGUGCUUUAUUAUCUAGAAUUAAGUUCUUUAAAUGAUGGUGUGUUUUUUGACUUCCAAUACCUUGGCAAGCAUGAAGAAGCCGUAAUCAGGAUGUGGCCUAUUAUUAUUCUAUCAGUUCUACCAACAGACUCAGGGAAUUUUUUAAAUAAUGCAAGCUUUGAGGUUAAAACACAGAUAGUUCUAUCUAAUUUAACAAUUAAAUCGUGGAUCAUUCUCCAAUACCUUGCAAUUUUGGGACAAUACCUCCAUAUAUGGGCCAUACUUCCCAAACCCCCACAGUCCCUCCAACACCGGACAGAAUACCUGUUUUUUAUAUUGUGCAAUUUAGACGGAGCCAAGUACCAGCGAUACAAUUUUUUUUUGUGGUUUUCGAAGUGGUCAGUGCAAAAAGAAAUCCCUUUUAAUGCUUUAAAAAAAUCAUACCUCCAGCUCAUAUUGUAUACCCAGCUCUGUCUCCCAGGAUACUAUAUGUUUCAGUUUAUCUAUGGGUUUGGCAUUGUAUAGUGCCCUUUCUAUUUGGAUCACAUAAAAAAAAAAUUUCUAGUGGUGUUAUCUCUAUUGAUUUAUAAUGUUUGCCGGUGUCUGGUGCGUUAUAUCAUUCUUUCAAUUUUUCAAUGAUUAACAUGCAUUCUUCUUUACAAUCAUUCGUUAGUCCAUGUUAAUGUUUUAAUUUUUCAAAUGAAUGGAUGGCGUUACCAUGAAAAAAAAACUAUCUACGUUCGUUAUAGGGUAUUCUUUCAAUAAAUCUAGAUUAUAAAAAGGUAUAUGGUCUUUCAACAAUUCAAUCGGCACUGCUCUAUACACUCUCGCAGUGUGGCUAUUAUUUUAAAAAACAAUAUCCCAGGCCUUGAGAGUGUUUUUUUUUUUAUAAAAAUUGUUUAGUGACUCUAGGCUUUUUUUCAGGACAUAGCCAGGGUAAGCCUAAACGGGAGAAUUUUUGACUCCUCUAUUUCCAUCCAUCUUGGCUUGUUAGAUUGACUAUUAAAACUCACGACCACUGCAGCAUUAGUUGCAAAAUAGUAUUUGCGGAUAUCCUGUACGCUGAUACCGCCAUUAGAUUUGUGAUGCUGCAGGGAAGUUUUAUCCUGCUAAGUUUAUUCCUCUAAAUAAAUUUUAACAUAACCGAAUGUAUUUUAUUGAAAAAAUAUAAUGGUAUAGAUAGAGGUAUGUCCUCAAAUAAUAAAAGAUUUUUGGGAUGGAUUUGGGAUGCGAUUCUCCCUAGUUAUGUGAAUUCCAUCCCGCCAAAUUUUUCCAUCUCUUUUUGCAGGUCUGGCCAUGCUUUCCUUAAGUUAUGAGUAUGCAUAUUUACAAAAUUUUUGCACAAAUUAAUGCCUAGAUAUUCUAAAUAUUAAUUUCUCCAAUCAUAUAAAUACAUUUUCUUAAGGGUGGUGAAUUCUGAAUAAUAUAUGUGGAAUGGGAGGGCCUAAGUCUUGGACUCAUUUAAUUUAUAAUAAGAUACUUCUCCAAACUGAAGUAAAAUAUCUUUAAGAUAUUUUAAAGAUUUUCAAGUGCCAAGAUAAUAUCAUCGGCAAAUAAGCCAAUUUUGUGAAUAGAUCCUUAAAUGUUUAUUCCUUCAGUUUCUGGUGUCGUUCUAAUUAAUUCAGCCGAAGGGUUCCAUAGCUAAGACAAAUAAAAUUGGAGAUAAAGGGCAGCCCUGCCUUGUCCCAUUAGUGAGCAAAAAAGUUUGGGAUUUAAAUCCAGAAGCUGAGACAUGGGCUUUGGGGUAUAGCGCCUUAAUUGCACUAACAAAGGAUAAUGGGAUAUUAAAUCUGCUAUGUUCUCCAUAGGUAUCCCCAAUGUAUCCUGUCAAACGCUUUUUCUGCAUCCAAUGAAAGACUCAAAGAAGGCGUUUCAGUCAAACUAAUGUGCUGGAUCAAAUUGAUAAAUCUCCUAGUUCCAUCUGGUGCCUGUCUGCCCUGUACAAAACCCACUUAGUAGUUAUUAAUUAAUAAGAGGAUUCAUUUAGCUAACCUGUAUGCUAGAACUUUAGCGUAAAUUUUUUAAUCAUUAUUUAUCAGAGAAAUGGGCCUAAAAUUAGGACACCUAUCAGGAGUUUUCCCAGUUUUGGUAAGGUGACAGUGCGCACAAGGACUCCUCCGGAAUCUUCCCCCCGGAUUUAUAGGAGUGGAACAAUUUCAUCAUAUGGGGAAUUAAGAUUUCUGGGAAGGUUUUGUAAUAUAAAAUAGUGAAUCCAUUAGGACCUGGCGCCUUUCCAGAUGGCAUAAGUUUGAUUGCCUCAGCUAUCUCUUCAGCUGAUAGCUCACACUCUAAGCUUUUUAAAUUAUCUGGAGACAACCUAGGAAACGUCACUUUAUCUAAAAAUGUAUUAAUUGUUACUUCUGAAGAUUGGAGAAAAUCCAAAUCCAAUUCUAGAUUAUAAAGUUUGCUGUAGUAUUCCACGAAUAAAUCACUAAUAUUGGUUGGAUGAAAUAUUGUUUGUCCCUGGUCGUUUAAUAAAUAUGCUAUCUUUGACUGGACAUUUACAUGCCGGAGUUUAGACGCCAGAAGAGUUGAGGCCCUGUUGCCUUUUAAACAAAAUGUUUUAUUAAGACGUCUCACCAUGAGAGAUGUACGAUCUAAAUUAAUUUUAUGGAUUUUUGACUCGAUCUCUCCUAUUUGAUAGGGAAGUCGAUGGGCGAAAUUGUUUGCCUGAUUCAGAUUGUAUAGUUAUUUUUCCAUUGUUCUCAGAUUAUUAUUAUUGAUUCUCUUCAGGUGAGACGCUCUAGAAAUAAAAUGACCUCGCAACACAGCCUUGUGCGCAUUCCAAGCCACCUCACCAGGAACCUCAGAUAAAACAUUAUCUGGAAAGUAAUCACUUAAGACUUUCUCUGCUAAUGAUUGGUCGGACCAAUUAAUAUCUAAAAUAUCAGAUCAAUCUCUAAGGAUCAUACAAACCACAUUCAAUAAUGUAUUUUGAGCAUUUAUCCGCUAAUCUGUCUCUAUCUCUCCUAUGGGAUUGGUCAGAGUUUUUCCUAGCAUUACCAAAAUACGUCUCAGAUUUUAAUUCACCAGAUCCAUAAUUUUCCUAAAAAAACUUAAUUGACCGGUGUUGGGAAAAUACAUAUUCACAAUUGUAUACUCAACAUUAUUAAUUUUAGCUGUUCAUAAUAAGUACCUCCCUUCAUUGUCUGUUAGUACCUUGUAGGUGAAUCAUGCCACGUUGGGUUGGGAAAAGUCUCAACAUAAAUUUAUAGUCUUUAUCGUCUUUAAAGCGUUUUUCCUGUACACAAAUUACAUCAGACUUGUUGGACUUUGCUUCUGUAAAUAUUAGUCUUCUCUUGUGCGCUGUGUUCAGGCCUCUCACAUUAAACAACAAAAAAUACCAUGAUUUAUUCCCUAAUCCAUGAUUAAUAAAGAAAAAAUAAGUGAUAAUGUGAGAUUCUGAACCUCCGCACUCCAAGAAAGAUAUAAGCAAAUCCAACAAUAUUGCUAAAAUAGAGACAAGCUGUUUACAUGUAUGAACAAUGGUAUUGAAUGGUAUUGAAUGCAUGAGCUUGUUUAAAUACUAAAAGACGUGCUGGGCUAGUUCCAUAAAGCGUUGUACAAGUUAUAACAUUAAAUAGUGUUGUGUAAAAUAUUUUGCAUAUCACAAGGAAAUGGAUGGACAUAAAAAAAAAGGGUAUAAAAAAACUAUUAGGGGAAAAAAAAGAAUAUUAGUUAAAAAAAAAAGGGUCAUGAGGAAGAAUAUUUUUUUUUUCUCCAUCUCAGGGUGUUAGGCCCAGGUUGAGGGGAGAGAAGACUACUGGGGGCAAGAGAACCAUUGUAUUAAAAAAAUGUCAAACCAUUGUCUGAGAAAAAAAAAAUUUUUUAGUUCAAAGUAAAAGAGUCAUAAAUAGUAAAGUGAAGUUCUGGGGUAAAUAGUAGUAGUACGCAACAAGUAGCCACAAUUAUUCAAACCCAAAAGGCUGUUGAAAUAAAAGAGGAAAAAAACAAACCAAAUUUUCAAGUAAUCCCGACAUAUUCCAAAGUUGGGGCAGUAAUCAUUAGUAUGGUUUAAAGAUAAAGUUUUCCUAGAACAAUACCAUCAAUCCCAGUAAAAAAGAAAAAAAAUUAUAAACAAAAAGAAAAAGAAGAAGAAAAGAUAAGUCAAGUGGCAUGUAAGCAAAAAAAAAAAAAAGGCUGGAACAACGUAGACUGGAACUUGGAAAUCAGGAACUCAGGAACAGCAUUGGUCUUCAUGGAGAGUCCAGUUUACUCCUCUUGUUGACCUGCUCAGGAGUAGAUGGUGAAAGCAUGUGCGGCGGUACAGUACAUCUGCUCAAGGAGUUGAAAAGUUCCAUUCCUUCCUCGGGCGACGUGAUUAUAAAAUUCUGUCCAUCCAUGUAGAAGAGCACUUUAACAGGAAAUCCCCAUCUGUAUCUUAUUCCUUUCCGACAUAACUCUGACGUGAAAGGUUGGAAUUCCCUGCGCUGUCUCAUCGUAUGAGCUGAAAAAUCCUGGAAGACCUUCAUGUUGUUGUAGUCUCCAGGAAGGCCAGAUGUGCGCACUGCGCCCAAGAACUGCUUCUUUACAUUAUAGUAGUGGAAACGUACUAUAUCAUCCUUGGGUGCAGCCGCUGGUGCGCUACUAGGUUUAGGCAGCCUAUGAAUACGAUCUAUCAAUAAAUCCGAAUUAGUGGCAGUAGGUAUAACUGCCUUCAUUAUGUUCUGGAAAUAUUUCGGUAAUUCCAUGAUAUCAAUAUCUGAUCCUUAAGUUGUUGUGUCUGCUCCUGUCUUCAACAUCUGCCAACUUUUCCGUCUGCUGGUUUACCUGUCUUUGGAGCGCCUUUACAAUGUCAGUGAAAUCCAAAUGAGAUUGCUAUUGAAAAUGCAAUCUAUUUUCUAUUGCCUCCGUGCGUUGAUUAAUACCCUCCAUAACACCAUAGAUUGCCUCAAAAUCCUUUUUGAAGUAAUUUUUUAAGUUGAAUUAUCACUCCUGAUGGUGGCAAAUCUUCUCCCAUUUCAAGUUGGAUAGUAGGGUGAUAUGUUGCAGCUUUAAAAGUAGUGGUGGCCAUCUUGGAGGUGACAGUGGCAAUCUUGGAAGUGGCAUGCAAAGUAUCUACAUUGGCAGCCAUCUUUGUUGUGGCAUCACACUUUAUUCUUUGUGGUAGUGCUGAAACGGUUAAUGAUUGGAGCAUAUCAGCUCCUAAUUCCAUAAUUUCUUCUUCUGGGCUUUCUAUAGCCCUGUCUGUGCCUUUAAUUAUUUUGAGUCGGACGUCAGAUGCCCACCCGCCGCGACCGACAGCUGAGAGGCUGAAGAUCCAGACAGGGAAUGGGAUCUCUUGCCGCCUGUCCCCUCCUCUGCAACCCCCGCCUUGCUUUUGUAAGUGAGCAACCGGGCUGCUUUUGUAAUUAACCACUUGCGGUUAUCUGUAUGAACCGCGCCACUCGCGGGGGACAUUUCACCUCACUCUGAGCAUGCUGAGUGCUUGGAGUCGCACUCCGAGCUUGCGGCUGUCGCGGCCACGAUCCCGCCGCUCCUGGAAUGAUGCGAGCAGGUCGCGGCCACACUCGCAUAAAACCAGGUCUGGAGGGAGGCCACCAAUGGGGAUUUUAGUGGCGAGGCAAGCCGCAGGCUUGCCUUGCCUCGCAGAUGUAGGUGUGUGGCUCUGCAAGACCUUACUCACCCCAACAGCUCCUGCUUUGUGUUUCUUAGCCUCAGACAUGUUUUUUCCCGGUUUUCUUUGCUUCUGCAUGUUAACAGAGGGUUUAAAAUGCUGUAUUAGCAAUCAGAUUCGGCCCAUUAAAAUUGGAAAUUGUGAAUUUGUAAAAAAAUUGUCCCCUUGGCCCUGGAGCCUCUCUAGUAGGUGGCCAUCUAAGAUGUUGGCCAAGACAUGCCCCUCGGUUCGGCACUUCCGAAAUUCGAGACUUUGGCAAUUCGAGACUUUGGCACUUCAGAAAUUUGGGACUUCAGCAAUUCCCUAACCCUAACCCUACCCCUAAACCUAACCCAGGUACAGAGGAAGGAUUAACCUAUUUUGUAUGGUAGUGUCCUGGACCUGAUAACCAAUGUGAUUGUGUAUAUGUUUUUACUGUAGUCUACUUUCAGGUCCAGAGGUGAGUGCCUCUUGCAUGGGGAUUGACAUAAAAGGCUAGUGUUGCUAUCAAUAAACCAGUUCCUGCUUACCCUCAACAUAGAGUCUCAUCUCAUGUUUGUAGGGAACCGCUACAACAGCUAUAAUCACCAGCUCUUAUAAGAGCUACACAGCUAUACAGUCCUUGGAAUUUGGAAAGCAUCACUCUGAAUAGGGGAAAGAACAUCUCUGGCAGAGAAACCCCUCAUCCUCUCGGGGUGGCCGCCACAAGGAUAAAAGAAACUACUCAGACGAUCUCUUGAAAUCCCUUGACAUCUGACAAUCUGGCAGACAUCUUGAGACAAUCUUGACUAUAACACCUGUAAAACUGCUUCUUAUUUUUCACUCAUCCGUAAACCUAACUUAUCUCUACCAGGGAAAAGUUCUUAGAAUUUCUAUCUAUACUCUGUUCUUGGAAACACUUCCAAUUCCAGAAUUGUUUUAACUGCUAUUCACUAACUCUGAAUCAAUGUGCUCCAGAGACAUCUAGAACAUCUAUCACUAAAUAUAAGCCAAUUAUAACAUUACAUAACUAAAAGCUGAUCUGAAUCCUCCACACUUGGGUUCGUGAUAGCUCAUGAUUAAAAAUUUGUAUCUCAAACUGCAGACUGGGAGACAAAUUGAUAUCAUGAAAUAAAGAUAG
Molecule: non-coding RNA, 6964 nt
Organism: Pelobates cultripes (western spadefoot toad)
Lineage: Eukaryota; Metazoa; Chordata; Amphibia; Anura; Pelobatidae
Source: the annotation of a GenBank genome assembly